AGAGUUUGAUUCUGGCUCAGGAUGAACGCUGGCGGCGUGCUUAACACAUGCAAGUCGAACGAAGCACUUUACCUGAUUUCCUUCGGGGAUGAUUGUUCUGUGACUGAGUGGCGGACGGGUGAGUAACGCGUGGAUAACCUGCCUCACACAGGGGGAUAACAGUUGGAAACGACUGCUAAUACCGCAUAAGCGCACGGCACCGCAUGGUGCAGUGUGAAAAACUCCGGUGGUGUGAGAUGGAUCCGCGUCUGAUUAGCUUGUUGGCGGGGUAACGGCCCACCAAGGCGACGAUCAGUAGCCGGCCUGAGAGGGCGACCGGCCACAUUGGGACUGAGACACGGCCCAGACUCCUACGGGAGGCAGCAGUGGGGAAUAUUGCACAAUGGGGGAAACCCUGAUGCAGCGACGCCGCGUGAGCGAUGAAGUAUUUCGGUAUGUAAAGCUCUAUCAGCAGGGAAGAUAAUGACGGUACCUGACUAAGAAGCUCCGGCUAAAUACGUGCCAGCAGCCGCGGUAAUACGUAUGGAGCAAGCGUUAUCCGGAUUUACUGGGUGUAAAGGGAGCGUAGGCGGUCCUGCAAGUCUGAUGUGAAAGGCCGGGGCUCAACCCCGGGACUGCAUUGGAAACUGUAGGACUAGAGUGUCGGAGGGGUAAGUGGAAUUCCUAGUGUAGCGGUGAAAUGCGUAGAUAUUAGGAGGAACACCAGUGGCGAAGGCGGCUUACUGGACGACUACUGACGCUGAGGCUCGAAAGCGUGGGGAGCAU
Molecule: ribosomal RNA, 765 nt
Filed under: uncultured bacterium
Lineage: Bacteria
Description: bacterial SSU rRNA
Rfam family: Bacterial small subunit ribosomal RNA
Source: RNAcentral